GAUAGUCAUUUGAUUGGAGAGAGAGAGAGAGAGAGAGAGAGAGAGAGAGAGAGAGAGAUAGUUAUUAACACUUAAAGUAAAUACAUUGAAUUGAAGCAAGUUAUAUAUUAUUUUCAAAAUGAACAGAGAUUGAGCCUGCAGCAUCCACAGAAAACGGUCAGGAGCCUAUCCAGGCCCUCGCUGAUUCAGAAGAAGAAGCAGAAGGAGAGGAAGAAGCAGCAGAAGAAGCAGAAGAAGCUGGUGUAGUGGUUCUGAUUGCAGCUGAAGAUGGCAAUGAAGUGGAACUUAAUCUUUCUGAAAUCCUUGCCCUCGAAAGAGCAUCUGAGCAGCAGCGGGAAAUAGUUGAACAGAACAUUACAGAGGCCAUCUCUGUGCAAACUCAAACUCAGGACGCGGAGAUUGAACCUGAACCUGUCGCCAGGCCCGUGCAUCCCACUGUACGAUUCAGAGGACGGAGGGGUAUUCAUCGAGUGAGAUAUGUCAGGGAGAGGCCUGAACCCGUCAGAGAUGCUGUACUGAGGGGCAAUCGCCGACACCAGCGAGUGAGAGAUCCGGAAAGCAAGCUGGAGAUCCUCCAAAAGCUGCUGACAAUUGUGCAGACAAUUCUUCAAAUGUAAAAGUUGUAAGGUGUUAGCUGUGACAUUUUGUUUUAUUUUAUUUUAUUUUAUUUUAUUUUUAAUCACGUGCAAAAUGGAGCCUGACCAGUCUUGUAUAAUUCCCAUACAAUUAGUUAUUGCUGUAGACGAUGUAAACGGGGAUCCACUGCGUUUUGUAAC
Molecule: long non-coding RNA, 776 nt
Organism: Perca fluviatilis (European perch)
Lineage: Eukaryota; Metazoa; Chordata; Actinopteri; Perciformes; Percidae
Exons: 4
Source: RefSeq, a predicted model, not a curated record